Molecule: ribosomal RNA, 162 nt
Filed under: Tolpis virgata
Lineage: Eukaryota; Viridiplantae; Streptophyta; Magnoliopsida; Asterales; Asteraceae
Description: 5.8S ribosomal RNA
Rfam family: 5.8S ribosomal RNA
About the family: 5.8S ribosomal RNA (5.8S rRNA) is a component of the large subunit of the eukaryotic ribosome. It is transcribed by RNA polymerase I as part of the 45S precursor that also contains 18S and 28S rRNA. Functionally, it is thought that 5.8S rRNA may be involved in ribosome translocation.
Source: RNAcentral
AAACGACUCUCGGCAACGGAUAUCUCGGCUCACGYAUCGAUGAAGAACGUAGCAAAAUGCGAUACUUGGUGUGAAUUGCAGAAUCCCGUGAACCAUCGAGUUUUUGAACGCAAGUUGCGCCCGAAGCCAUCAGGCCGAGGGCACGCCUGCCUGGGCGUCACG